RNAcentral lists this long non-coding RNA (1398 nucleotides) under Homo sapiens (human). Its description in RNAcentral is "novel transcript". Lineage: Eukaryota; Metazoa; Chordata; Mammalia; Primates; Hominidae. The record is from RNAcentral.
GAUUCUGCCCACUAUGACAACAGGAAGCAAAGGUCAGAGGGACUGGCCGUAGGCACAUGUGAAGCUUUCUUGCCAAUCUUCAUUGAACUCACACUUCAAAAGUCAUGGUUUUCUCUUUGUUUUAUUGUAAUUUUCUGUUUUAUUAUAAAGAAGAUUGCAGAAAAGAGGCAGAAUAGGAGAGCUGAAAGACAAAAAAAGAGUAUCUAAACAACAGAGGACACAUACUGGAAUCUCUGGAGCUCAUCCCUUCAGAGGGCCCUUCCCAGAAGAACUGUAUCUCCACUUCCUCGGUUCUCUGGAAUAAAUUACAACCUUAUGACUCAUGAGUCCAAACAGGACAGUCUUUACGUCUACCCAUCUUAUGACUGAUGUGGCUCUCAAGGAACAAUAAAACCUAAGCAAAUUAUGGGAACAAGCAUUUAUCAACCACGCAAAUGAAGCCAUUCUUUGUAUGUAUUAUGCAUCUCAAUCUCCAUAUAUGGUUAUCAACGUAAUAAUUCAAGUAAAGAGUUUUUCUACACCAGGAGUUCCAAAAUCAAGCUACAUUCAAAGAGAGAAACAACACAUUGGAUACUCAAGUUAUGAACCGUGAGAAGAGUCAGAAAUUCCUUAUAGGAUAGAACAUGUGCAAUUGAAAUCUAAUAUUAAGUUUUCUGUGGAAAAACACAUAUAUGUGUACUAUAUGGCUAUCUGAUCAUUUUAAAAACAUACUCAGAAUACUUUAAUAAAACACUGUGAGUAUGAAUUAUCUAUGCUUUAAACACUUUACUUCUCUUUCUGCAUUUAUGCCAUCACUUCUUAUCUCUUCAUACCUUGAACUUUUUCUUUUCCCCCUCUCUCACUCUAUGACUCCUGAACAAAACUGUCAUUUCCAAUAUCUAACUUCAUUAACUAAGUAGGGAUGGCAGAUGUUUAUUAUCACCAAAAUGCAGCAUAACAUUUGCAAACUGGUUUAUGACAUGCAUCUUUAUAAAGUGCUCAGUGAAAUGCAUAAACGAUUGAUUGAAAAUUGGUCAAAGAGAAUAUUGAGUACUUUAUUAGUUACUGGCUAAAGCUAAGGAGUUACAGAAAAGCAUCAUAUCUAAAUAAGGAGUUUUAUUUGAAAUAUGUAAUUUCAUUAUGAAUAAAUUCCAUAAAAUAAACUAAGAAUUGCUAAAUGAUUUCUGUAAACUGAUUGGUGCUGUAGAAUGAUCCCAUAACCUGGGCCCCUGACUCCUUCUUUCCUUUCUUCCUUCAUUCCUUCUUCUCUUCCUUUAUCCCUCCUUUAUUUAAAGGGUACUCAGAGUGGAGCAAGAUGGUGGAAUAGAAGGCUCCACCAAUCGCUGCACAUUACCCCCAGCAAGGACACCAAUUUAACAACUAUCUACACAGAAAAAAACACCCAUAUAAGAACCGAAA